Molecule: long non-coding RNA, 966 nt
Filed under: Marmota monax (woodchuck)
Lineage: Eukaryota; Metazoa; Chordata; Mammalia; Rodentia; Sciuridae
Source: RNAcentral
GAGGGAGGGAGGGGUGAGAGGCAGAUAUAGUCCCCAGGGGUUGACCUACUUUAUCCAACCAUGCCCCCACCUGCCUGCAGUUCCUUCCUCCUCCCAGUAGUUCAUUCAAACUAUUAGCCUAUGAUGGAUCAACCCACUGUUGAGGUUAGAGCCCACAUGAUCCACUCAAAACAAACCCUCUGGAGCUCUCUUUCCUUGGCACAACCAGGAGUGGGACACAAUGCUGGUUUUAUUGGAAAGAGUCCCUGAGCAACGGGAUAAAUAGAGUCCCCCUUUCUCCACCAAUCCACAAUAUAGAUGAGCAAGAAGCAAACUUUGGUUUCUUAAUUUAAAUCACUAAGAUUUUGGAGUUGCUUGUUACUGUAUCAUCAUCUAGACUCUUCUGAAUGGUAAGCACAGUAAUAUUUAGCUGAAUUUCUUUGUGAUCUCAUGAUCUAAUUUAAAAUGUUCACAGAAAAUUCAUCUCUUCUCCUCACACAUUGUUUAUGAACCUGGCAAAUGACAGACAUGCCUUUUCAGGUUUCCUGGGCUUCAGUAUGUGACAAUGCAACAGUGCUCCCUGGGUACAAAGCAGUUACGGACUUCAUGAAUGCUGUGGUUUGAUUGUGGUCUGCCCCUUAUGGGUCAUCUGCUGGAAGCUGGGUCCCCAAUGUGACUGCAUUAGAGGUGGUGAAACCUUUAAUAGGUGGGACCUAGUGGGAGAUGGUUAGACCACUGAGGUCACUGCCCUUAGAAAGGACUGAUACCAUUCUCAUGAGACUCCAACUUUUUCUAGUGGGAACAAGUUAUAAAUGAGCAGGCCUGACCCCCAAAGUUCCCUGGCUUCCUGUGUUCCCUGGGACCGCUUCUACUUCUACUACUGUAACACCACCAACAUGAGGUCCUUACCAGAUGGAGCAGAAGAUGGACCUUCAGAACUGUGAACCAAAUAAACCUCUUUUUUAAAACAAAUUACCAAACCUCAAG